Molecule: long non-coding RNA, 2088 nt
Filed under: Nicotiana benthamiana
Lineage: Eukaryota; Viridiplantae; Streptophyta; Magnoliopsida; Solanales; Solanaceae
Description: long non-coding RNA (NBEN_LNC010527)
Source: RNAcentral
AGCAUUCCAAUCUGAAAAUUUCUAGUCGUGCACGGAGAAAAAAAGCAGUGCAACAACAAUUCAUCAUAAUCAAAGUGUAGCACUGAAAAAGGGCAAAACCAGGUGAUAAUCCCUUUUUGAGUUGAAAUUUGAGUUUGAUCUUAAGUCUUUCUGCUCGAUCAUUGUUUCUUCUUCACUCUGACCGUUAGCUUUUGCUUGAUUUCUAGAAUAUUUUUAUUUUCUCUUUGUUUUUGGGAUAAUGUAUAAGCUGAGUUAUUAGUGGAGGUUUAUUCUACAUGGGUUUGAUCUCAAUAGCUACCGUAUAGAGUACUCUUUCAUUUCUGAAUAUAUUUUUUUUCAGUUUUCUUCAUCUUCUCAUCUUGUUGUUAUAAUUUUCAGGUCUACUCCUCUUUCAGUUUUUUCCAACUCUAUUUUUUUUUUUGGUUGAAUCCAUUUUAGGGCUUCAUUUUCUGAUCUGACUUAACUUUUUGCAGUUACACAGUAAAGUGUGAGGGAGAAUUUAGAGUCAAGGGCACAAUUCUAAAGGUAUUGCUUGAAGGCUUUUUUUCUCUUUUUCAUCAACCUUCAUCGCGGACAGUGAUAAAGUGUUGACUACAAUAGAAAAAAAUUGAAUUUACUAAAGACUAUUAUAUAAUUUCCUGUACCUUCAUUAUUAACUAAUUUUGCACAAUCUUGUAGCUAUCAAUUAUUUAAAAAAAAAAAAAAAAGAACUCAAAUAGAAUGGAGAAAAGCUUUGUGUACAAAAUUCCCAAAGGCCAGUAAUGAACUUAUGUUUUGCCAAUUAUUUUGUUUAACAUUUAGCUUGCUUGUUUUUAAAUUGAAGUUGACAAAUGAACUAUUUUAGCUGAAAUAUGGCAUCUUGAUAUCUCUUAUUCAAGAACCGUAUACUCUUCGCAAAAAAAAGGACUUCUUCUUAAGAAUAGACCUAUGUUGUUUUCCAUCUCUUAAGUUUUUUAAAUUUGAGUUAAUGUGCUGAGUAGUCGAAGUAGUUUAAGAUUACUCUUUCUUCCCUUAUAGUGUCAUAUUUAUAAAUUAGGAACAAUACAUAGAUUGUUAGCAAUAAUUUUUUGAAUACACAUUCGUUCUUAGGAGAAUUUUUAGGCUCCUUCAAAUGAGGCAAAACUGAAAACUAAGUAAUAACUUGGUUUUCUAUCUAACUGGAGAGAGUCUGAAAAGGAAAUGAAGCUGUUAUGAGUUAAAUCCUUCCAAAUUGUGUUUCAUUCUCCAAUUUUAGGGAAAUAAUGUUGCCUCAAGUUGACAUAUGUAUGUGGAUCAAGUUUCAAUUAUUUUGUGCAUGCAAAUUCAUGCUUUCAUGAUCAAAUAACAAUCAGAUUCUAUUUCUGAAUGAUAUGUGUGACCCUUUCUACAUUUUGAUAUAGAGUUGGUCAUCUUUUCUUUUGACUAUACUUUUAAAAAAAUUCUUAGCUUUUGCUUUGCUGUAGGAAAUUAUAAGCUUCUUUGCUAACUACCUACUGCUUAGGAACAAAGAAAUACAUGUUCUAAUAUGAUUUUGUUUUAUAAGUGAGAGUUAUAUAAGUUAACCAGGUAAGAAACUGCUAUUUAGACCACAAACUAUAUCAACCAUUAACUAUUAUUUUAUCCUUGAUUACUUUUUCACCCCCAGUAUCACUUUCAUGAAUUUUGGUUCUAAUAUUUUCUUAAAAUAUUUGCUCUGCAGCUUCCUUGAAGGUUGGAUUGGUCUUUCCCUAUUAUUAGGGCAUUCAAAGAAUAGAGGUCACAUAUAGAAGAAUUGACCAUGAUUUCACCUACAAGAACUUAAAGAUCCUCAAGAGAUGAGCCUAAACUCCGAGCAAGCUUCUGCCUACUUUACCUCUAUUAAUAUUGUGGUUGAUUAUAAUGGAAGAUAUGGUAUUUUAAAUUGUUAUUCGAGUACAUCAGUUUUUUCUAUAAAUUUUUCACCUGUAAGAGUUGGUAGCAUUGUACAUACACAUUGCAGGUUCAGGAUAACCAUUUUGCUGCAAAAUUUUAGGCCUGAAUGUACAAUGAUUUACAUACUAACUCCCUACUCAGUUAAAUCAUGUUAGUUUGCAAGUAAUUUCUUGCUUUACUAAAAUUAGUAUACCUAGC